This 301-nucleotide ribosomal RNA is filed under the name uncultured bacterium. Its description in RNAcentral is "partial 16S ribosomal RNA". It matches the Rfam family "Bacterial small subunit ribosomal RNA", at positions 509 to 807 of the family's 1533-position model. The record is from RNAcentral.
CAGUCGCCGCGGUAAAACGAAGGGUGCAAGCGUUAAUCGGAAUUACUGGGCGUAAAGCGUGCGUAGGUGGUGAGUUAAGUCUGCUGUGAAAUCCCCGGGCUCAACCUGGGAAUGGCAGUGGAUACUGGCUCGCUAGAGUGUGUCAGAGGAUGGUGGAAUUCCCGGUGUAGCGGUGAAAUGCGCAGAGAUCGGGAGGAACAUCAGUGGCGAAGGCGGCCAUCUGGGACAACACUGACGCUGAGGCACGAAAGCGUGGGGAGCAAACAGGAUUAGAUACCCCCGUAGUCCCUGUCUCUUAUAC